This 1533-nucleotide ribosomal RNA is filed under the name Triticum aestivum (bread wheat). RNAcentral's name for it is "partial small subunit ribosomal RNA". Lineage: Eukaryota; Viridiplantae; Streptophyta; Magnoliopsida; Poales; Poaceae. The record is from RNAcentral.
AUGGAGCUAAGCGCAGCCACCCUCCUCUUCCUAUCCUUCGUCUCACUGACGAUUCUCGUGUCUUUGCUUAGCCGCAAAAAGACAGCAAGUUCCAAGGGGCGGAAGCCUCCCGGCCCACGGUGUCUCCCCUUCAUCGGAAGCCUCCUCCACCUCCGGACAGCGACGCCGCAGGUCGCUCUCCGGGACCUGGCCAAGAAGCACGGCCCGGUGAUGUACCUGCGGCUGGGCCAGGUGGACGCCGUGGUGAUCUCCUCGCCGGCGGCAGCGCAGGAGGUGCUCCGGGACAGCUCCCUCAACUUCGCGUCAAGGCCCACAAUUCUGGCCGCGGAGAUCGUGGGCUACGGGAGCGCCGACAUAGCCUUCGCGCCGUACGGCGCGUACUGGAGGACGCUGCGCAAGCUCUGCAUGGUGGAGCUCCUGAGCGCGCGAAAGGUGAGGCAGUUCGCGCCCAUCAGGGACAGCGAGACCAUGUCCCUCGUCAGGGAUGUCCGCGCCGCCGCCGCCGCCGGUGGAGGCGGCCAGCCCGUCAAUAUGAGGAAGCUGCUCGUGUCGUGCACGAACACGAUCACCGCAAGGGCAACGUUUGGCGACGGCUGCGACGCCGAGCUCCAAGAGCAGUUUCUGGCUGCGAUGAAUGUGCUGCUCACAUUAACUGGGGGAUUCUGCGUCGGGGACCUCUUCCCUUCGCUGUGGUUUGUGGACGUGGUCACUGGGCUGAGACGCUCGCUCUGGGGAGCGCGCCGGCAGUUCGACGCCAUCUUUGACAAGAUCAUCGCCAUCUGCGAGGCGCGGCGAGCGGAGAAAAAUACCGGAGACGAUGAGCUUCUGAGCGUCAUGCUUAGGAUCAAGGAUGAGGGGCAGCUUGAGUUCCCCAUCGGCAUCACAAACAUCAAGGCAAUAACAGUGGACUUGUUCACAGCAGGGACGGAGACGACGUCGUCAAUCCUGGAGUGGAUCAUGUCGGAGCUCAUGAGGAACCCGGAGGUGAUGGUGAAGGCUCAGGCGGAGGUGCGACAAACAUUGGACAACAAGAGUCUAGAAGACCAUGAGGUCCACAUGGAAAAACUGCGCUACAUGAAGAUGGUGAUCAAGGAGGGUCUGAGGCUGCACCCGGCGGCACCACUCCUGCUCCCCCGUGUCUGCCGGGAGACUUGCAACGUCAGUGGGUUUGAGAUCGUGGAGGGCUCCAGGGUCAUGGUCAAUGCGUGGGGGAUAGCGAGGAACCCCGAGUAUUGGCAUGACGCAGACGAGUUCAAGCCAGAGAGGUUUGAGGACAUUACCGUGGAUUACAGCGGUACACAAUUCGAGUACUUGCCGUUCGGGAGCGGGCGGAGGAUGUGCCCUGGCAGUACUUUUGGGUUGGCCACGCUGGAGCUCAUCUUGGCUCGGCUUCUGUACUUCUUCGAUUGGAGCCUCCCAGCCGGAAUGCGUCCGGAUGAGCUUGACAUGGACAUGACCGUCGGUGCAACACUAAGAAGAAGGAACCCACUUCACCUAGUAGCGACGCCGUAUAAUUUUCCGAUGAAAAUUUGA